RNAcentral lists this ribosomal RNA (474 nucleotides) under bacterium 2611-S6-09-2. Its description in RNAcentral is "bacterial SSU rRNA". It matches the Rfam family "Bacterial small subunit ribosomal RNA", at positions 58 to 512 of the family's 1533-position model. The record is from RNAcentral.
CAAGUCGAGCGGAACGAGUUAUCUGAACCUUCGGGGGACGAUAACGGCGUCGAGCGGCGGACGGGUGAGUAAUGCCUAGGAAAUUGCCCUGAUGUGGGGGAUAACCAUUGGAAACGAUGGCUAAUACCGCAUGAUGCCUACGGGCCAAAGAGGGGGACCUUCGGGCCUCUCGCGUCAGGAUAUGCCUAGGUGGGAUUAGCUAGUUGGUGAGGUAAGGGCUCACCAAGGCGACGAUCCCUAGCUGGUCUGAGAGGAUGAUCAGCCACACUGGAACUGAGACACGGUCCAGACUCCUACGGGAGGCAGCAGUGGGGAAUAUUGCACAAUGGGCGCAAGCCUGAUGCAGCCAUGCCGCGUGUGUGAAGAAGGCCUUCGGGUUGUAAAGCACUUUCAGUCGUGAGGAAGGUAGUGUAGUUAAUAGCUGCAUCAUUUGACGUUAGCGACAGAAGAAGCACCGGCUAACUCCGUGCCAGC